AGGUCUUGUGUAAGGUGUUGUGGUUACCAAGGCGGAGGCCCCGCAUCUGGUAGAGAAGGCAGACAUGAACAUGGUGAAGGCCAUGUGCAGUGGGGUCAGUGCUGUGACAGAGCUGAGCCUUCGGAUGAGACCAUGACCCCAGCUACAAGUUGACUGCAACCUUACAGAAGACCUUCAGCCAGAAGCUUCCAGCUAAGCCAUGCCUGGAUUCCUGACCCUCAGAAACUGUGGGCGGCACCUGACUGGAGUGGUGCAGAGGUGUGCAGACUGGCGGGAGGACCUCUGGCUCGGGCUCACACACUGCUGUGUGCCAAGUCACAGAUUGCACGGCCGCUCUCCGCUUGCUCCAGAGUGGACCGCAUGGUUGUGCACACACUGGAUGCUUCAGUCUGUGGUCCUGCUAAAGAUCAAACAGGAACAGCUCUCCAGGUGAUACAAAGAAGGCACGCCUGGCAGGAGGGUAUCCUGAGAGAUGUGUGGAGGAGGAGGCUCCAUGCUCCAACGUGAUGCUGACAAUUUAGUUCAGUGCAGCACAGAUACAUCUAGUGUUCUUUGUAUCCAGGGACUUGGGAUACAGAGACGAGUAAGACAACUUCUGUUCCCCUGAAGUGCUCUCCAGCCCGCUGGGGGAAAUGGAUAAUGGUGAUUGCAGGGAGUCCGUCCUUCGUUAGAAGCUGCCCCAGGUGACAGAGAGUCUUAGCAAUCUGGGUAGGACAUGGAGGGGAAGUCGGAGAGGACCUGUCCAGGUAGUUGAAGUUUUCUAAGAUGGAAGACAAAUUCAUUUUAAGGCAGAGAAAGCUUUUAGUUCUGGCACAUUCAACCUGUUAUGCCCCAAUAAUGGGUCUGUGAUUAAAGGAGCCAGACUGAUAUAAAGCGAAGGUCAAGCAAAGCUUUAUUUCGCGCCAAGCAUCAAGAAUCUAACGAACGUUCGGGGACGCACCUCUUACAAGAGAGGGCGACCCUUCUCUGUUUCACAGUCUAGCUUUUAAGGGCAAAGGCCAUGUGGUCGGGCCUAGCCAUGCACAGGUGACCAAUGAGAUUGUGACACACACAGGAAACUCCACAGUGAUGCUAGGUGACCAGUUGAGUUACAAUUUACCCUAGUAGACAUUUGACCCAGCCUAUUACACCUUGAUUGGGAUUGGCGCCAAAAAGGCUCCCAAAGGGCAGGGCCCAUACUCCUCGGUAACCAGGGAGACAGUAUGCAUCCCCCCACUGAUCAGAUGUCUCCACCUGGCCUGACCCACCCUGUAUCUGGGCUUUGUUACCUGUAGCUGAUUUCUGGGACUUGUCUGCAAGCAAAUCCCCUGGGGGAAGGGGAGCAGGGACAGUUUCUAAACAGGUCCUUACACAACCUCCAACCUGUUGAUUAUCUAUAACCCUGCAUGGAUAUAGACUUCCGUAAUGUCCCAGCUGGCAGCGGGAGCCCUAAGUCAAAGUGCAGUUCCAUGUGAGAAAUGCCCUCUUUCCUGCUGUCGCUGAGGUCACUGCUCCCAGGGAUCCCGCCACGGGGAACCUCAUCUGCCAUGAGAGCUGGAAAAAAAGUGGCACAUGUAAGGAGCCCAAGUUUCUGGAAGGAGGAAAUGUGGCACAUUUUCAUAAACAGAUGAGGCAAAAAGUGGGUGUCAUCAUGGAAUGUUGAAAUCCCAGCCAAAGCAAGUGAGGUAGGUCGAAGCCUGCAACAGAGCCAACUCCAGGGGGCCAAGAAUGCAGCUCGGGGGCCACACUUCACAAUCUGGAGGAGGUCCGUGGGCUCCUUCCUCCAUCCCUGCCCUGGAAUGCCAGUCAGUCAACUGUCUAAUGAACAGGGAAGGCCUGCCCUGUACCGGGGACACCAGAACAUCAUCACAAGAAGCCUGAGGAUUACAGAGUACAGGGAGAGUGCUAGGAAGGCAAGGGAGGGGACUCUUAACCUAGUCUGGGGGACCAGAGAAGGCUUCUGGGCAGGGGUUCUGUUUCCGCUGAGACCUGAAAGGGAAGGAAGGAGGCAGCCAGGUGGGGAGGGGCAGGAGGUUUGGCAAGAAGGCAUGUGACCGUUGCAGUGCUGAGUGCUGGGGUGAGGAGGAGAAAUGCCUCUUCCCUAGUUCUGGUUUUAAGUCUUUCCUGAAGACUCCUGGCCUCUGGCUCUCCCUUAGUCCUCCCCAGGGUGGAAGGGUGAGUUAUUUGAUGGGGAUCUGUUUUGCGAUGGUCUGGGUGAUAUGAGGCCAGCAGCUAGGAAUGCCUGGGGGCACUCCCCUGGACCCCUACUCCUGCUGCUGGCCUCCCCUCCUCCCGGUGGAGGCCACCUGGCAGCCAGGCUGCAAGGCACAUCUCCUACAACCUAUAGGGAACCUUAACAAAACCAGGUUUAUUACUCACACAAGCCCUGGAGAGGACACAGUGGCCUCAGGACCAUGCUCGGAGGUCAGGGGUAAAGAGAGGGCAGCAGACCUGGGAUUCUGCCUUUUCGGGCUUGAGGAUCGGGGUGGAGGGUUUCAUGAGUUCACUCUUCACUGCUGAAUUUAUUUAUUUUUUAUUUAUUUUUUUAUUUUUUUAAAGAUUUUAUUUAUUUAUUUGACAGAGAGAGAUCACAAGUAGACGGAAAGGCAGGCAGAGAGAGAAAGAGAGAAGCAGGCCCCCUGCUGAGCAGAGAGCCCGAUGCGGGACUCGAUCCCAGGACCCUGAAAUCAUGACCUGAGCCGAAGGCAGCGGCUUAACCCACUGAGCCACCCAGGCGCCCUUCACUGGUGAAUUUAAAGCAAAGUUCUGAAAUUCUAACGCAGUGCAUGGCGAUUACAGUCAAUUGUACUAUAAAGUUUCAAGUGGCUAAGAAACGUAGAUCUUAACUGUUUUCACCACACACACACACAAAAUUAUGUGACAUGACAGAAGUGUUGGUUAACGUUGCAUAGUGUGAUAUAUAAAUGUAUCAAAUGAACAUGUCGUAUGCCUAGAGCUUAUAUAAAACUGCACAUCAAUUAUAUCUUGAUGGAAAAAAGAAAAGGAAAAACUUAAAAAAAAAACCACCUAAGAAUGAGAAUUAGAGCACAGGAAGGGAAAGGCAGGGUCCCUCACUGGGCCAGGUACGCAGGUCCCCCAGGGUGCUCUAGAAGGGGAAUGUCAUGGACUGGACGGGGCGGCCUGGCACGUGCCGUCUGCAUGUGUCGCCAGCAGUGCAUUAUUGGAGAUGGAGGUCUUUGAGAGGGAAGCCUUGAAAUUCGAAGCCUUAGUUAAUGGCAGGCGCUCCUGUGACAAUCUAAAACGCUACCUGUCAGGCCCUGAUGCUAUGGUAUCAUUCAAAGUUUAGAGCAGGCAACAGAAAGCUCUCUCAGUGUUUUGGGUAGAAAAGGGUUGACCAGGUAUCCGUGCUUUCGUCAUUGGAAAGACUGGAAGGAGGGGAAGAGGGGUUCAAGGAAAAGGUCUCCAUGGGAGACUCCAAAAGCCCAGAAGAAAUGGCCCCUGAGUGGAGCUACUACUUCCCAGCCCUCUGCUGGGCUGCUAACUGAACACAGACCCCCACAGCUGCAAGUCGGGAACCCGGACACCUCAGUCAAGACGCUGCCACAACAGCCUGUUGUUACGCGCCAAAAAUGGGUGCUGGAAGGUCGCUGCAGAAAAGUCUCAAGUCUCCACACGAUGACUUGGCGGCAACAGCAAAAUCAAAAGGGGCUGCCAUCACAUCUGCACCUGUUUCCAACCAGAAGCCUUGCUACAAAGGAGCCUGUGCUACAGUUUUUGGCUUUCUGAGCUCUGUCUUCAGAAAGGAGCCUUUGACGGUGGGCUGGAGGUUGGAAGAGUUGAGCCACGGUGCAUCACAGUGGGGUACACACACUGGUCUCCAUUUCUUGACUGGGUAGAUCCAGUCUAGCAUAGGUCCUGGAUCUCAGGAUUUGGUUUUUCUUUUUCUCUCUCUACUGGGAUGAGUGGAAGGCGGUGUCUGCUCUACACAUGCCACCUUUCCCUGAAAUGGGCUGGUCCAAGGUCAAGAGUGGGGACUGUGAGGUAGCAAGUAGACUGAUUCAAACACUGAGCUAUGUUCUUCAAUCUAUUCAAUCUAUUUCAGUCUUCUUACCUGCUGACUUUGUUCUUUUGUUUUUUGUUUUCAAUUGUUUCAGUAUGUGGGUAGGGAAGAAGAAUACAAUUUACAGGGUCCUCCCAAAAACCCAUCUUCUAAUAUGCUGCAAAGAGCAAAGAGCUGGGGGUAGAGAGACACAAAAUGAGACUGAAGAGGAUGAUUCUGUUUGGUCCUCUGGGUUUACUUAAGGAUUGUGAGCCAUGAGAAAGCAUUGGAGAAGCAUAUCUGAAGGGAUGAGCCUAAAGUCAAAAUGCAUUAGCCUAAAGUCAAAAUGCCUGGGUCGCUCAGCCUGAUAAGCAUCUGCCUUCGGCUCAGGUCAUGAUCACGGGGUGCUGGGAUCAAGCCCCGUGUCAAGCUCCUUGCUCAGCAGGAAGCCUGCUCUGCCCCUUACCCCUACUCAUGCUCUCUCUCGCUCUCACUCUCAAAUAAAUAAAAUCUUUUUAAAAAUGCACUAAAUGGACAAAGAAGCAAACAAAGGAGAAAAUCAUUGUAGGAAGUACAAAGACUUGGUUUCCUUAUUCUGCCCCUCAUGGACUAUGUGACCUCUGGGUCUCAGUUUCUUCAUCUGUAAACUGGACAUAAUUAAAUCUUUAUCUUAGGAGAACAAAAAGGGGAAACUGCUUAGGAUGGCGCUUGCCAGAAAAAGGUUGAAUCUGAAUCCAAAUCCGACACUGUAAUCACUAAUGAAGCAAGUUCACAAAAUGAAUUUGGAUGAACACAGAGUAACCUAAAGCACCCUCUCUCUGGGACCAAACCCCCAGCAAUGAGUGUGUUGGAGAGUAUUUGAAACUUUACACGGUGGUUCCACACCUACAUUCGGGAGUUGCCACUUACAGCCGCGGGAUCUCGGCCAGGUGAUGUGAUCUAUUCAAGCCUAGGUGUUCUCUUCUUUAAAAUGGCACCAAAUUAGGGCGCCUGGGUGGCUCAGUGGGUUAAGCCGCUGCCUUCGGCUCAGGUCAUGAUCUCAGGGUCCUGGGAUCGAGUCCCACGUUGGGCUCUCUGCUCAGCAGAGAGCCUGCUUCCUCCUCUCUCUCUCUGCCUUCUUGUGAUCUCUCUCUCUGUCGAAUAAAUAAAUAAAAUCUUAAAUAAAUAAAUAAAAUAAAAUAAAAUGGCACCAAAUUAUUGUACUUCACUUCAGAAGCCUGGGGGAAUUAGAUGUGAAAAUCCACACAAAACAUCUGGUAUAGAAUAAAUGUUCUGUGUUAUCUGUUGUUGAUCUGGACCAAACCAUCAGUGGAGCAGCAGGCAUGAGACACAGCUCCGCCCUUCACGGCAGGAAUGCAGUGUGGUGCAAAGUGAGUGGAAGCAAUUCCUACUAUUCCUCCCACCUGUGAGAUGGACUGUGAGUCCGGCAGAUGUCAAGACAGACGGAAAACAGCCCAGUGAGCUCACUCUUCCACCACAAGAGUGUGGGGAGUGAAGGGAGUGAGGAGACCCUGCAAGGUUGUGUGAUCACCAUGCUUUCUCCACGGACCCUGCUCCUGACAAGAAGCGAUCUGAGGUGAAGAACGACAGAAGCAAGUAUGAGAAGACGCAGUGUCGACCCACCAUGACAGCCAGCUUCUAAAUGAUUCCCGAUGAUAGUCCAGUGCCGGGCACCCAUGCUCUUCUGUAAUGCCCUCUGCUGCAGUGUGGGCUGGACUUGCUGACCUGAGCUUGCACCUGAGUGCAUGCUUGUGAUGAGCUAGACUGUCGAGAUCAGUUAUACAAGACGGUGAUCUUGAUCUUGCCCGCACUCUGACUCCUCUCUUGCUUGCUCUGAUGAAGCAAGCUGCUGCACCGUGAGCUGCCCUAGAGAGAGGUUCCCAGGGCAAGUAACUGGGGGAGGCCCUCAGUCCAACAGCCCAGGAGGAACUGAAUCUCGCCGACAACCUCCUGAGUGAGCUUGGAAGCACAUGCUGCCCCAUUGCUGUCUCGAGGUCUUAACUGAAAGCCCAGUCAACACCUUGCUGGCACCCUCGUGAGAGAUCCUCAAGCACAGGACCCAGCUAAGCCAUACCCAGGUUCUUGACCCACACAAGCUAUCAGACAGUACACGUUGUAAGUCACAGUCUAUGAAUAAUUUAUAAUGCAGCAAUACAGAACUAAUACACCCAGCAAAUAAGUCCCUAGGUCUCUCCUGACUUCGCUUUUUUACCAAAGUGCUUGGUUCGUCCUGCAGCAGGAAACACAACAAAAUCUGAGUGUUUCUGCCAUUAGUAGGCCACGGGGAAUAUGUCUCCAGUAAUUACUGCCCAACCAGUGAGCAUCCACUUCCUUCAGGCAGCAGACACACUAAAUGGGUCACAUAGAUCCACAAUAUCCAAUUUUCCUGAAUAAGAACUAAGUGGAAAAUCUAAGAAAUAACCAGAUGAGCUGGAUGGGGAAUUAGAGGAUUCCCAUAACCUCAUUCAGACAGAUGGAGGCACCAAAAAGGAAACGUGAACAUGAGAAACACACACAGAAACCGAAACUCAAGAAGUUAAUGCGAGAUACGAAAGAUACAUGAGGAACAUUCUUUUGAAGGUUUGUACUAGGAAAGUCGAAAUACUUUGUUCCGUCUCAAGGAGAUUAGAGCAAACACAGAGUCCAGGAAAUGGGAAACGAAGAAGCAGACAAGGAGACUUCGGUCAAAGGUGAAACAGCCGCUGCCAUAACUGAGGAAAAAAAGGAGAAAGAUAACUAAAGAAAACGAAAGCGCUUUAGAAAUGUCAAAACCUGACCAAAUUUGGGGCACCUGGCUGGCUCAGUUGGAGAGCGUACGACUGUUGAUCUCAGGGUUGUGAGUUCAAACCACAGGUUGGGUGUAGACAGGACUCAAAUAAAUAAAGCGUAGGGGUGCCUGGGUGGCUCAGUUGGUUGGGUGUCUGUCUUUGGCUCAGGUCGUGAUCCCAGGUUCUUGGGAUCGAGUCCCACAUCGGGCUCCCUGCUCAGCGGGGAGCCUGCUUCUCCUUCUCCUUCUGCUGCUCCCCCUGCUUGUGCUCUCUCUCUGGCUCAAAGAAAUAAAAUCUUUAAAAAAAAUAAACUUAAAAAAAGAAAAGACCCCCCAAAUUGACCAGAGUUUACCAGAAAUUGAAGUAUAGUGAUGUUAAUGUCGUCUUGUUUUCCCACCUCUUUUUUUUUUUUUAAGAUUUUAUUUAUUUACUUGAUAGCGAGAGAGUGAGAGAGAGCAUGAGAGGGGGAGGGUCAGAGGGAGAAGCAGACUCCCCACUGAGCAGGGAGCCCAAUGCGGGACUCGGUCCCGGGACUCCAGGAUCAUGACCUGAGGCAAAGGCAGUCACUCAACCAACGGAGCCACGCAGGGCCUCUUUCCCAGCUCUUUUUAAGAUAUAAUUAACACAGUGUGUGAGUUUUAGGUGUACACUGUAUUGAUCUGAUACAUUUAUAAGUUACAAAAUGAUUAGCACCAUGUUAGCAGGUAGUAAUCUGCUGAUGGCAGUCUCCAUUAAAAGCACCCAGAAUGGGGACGCCAGGGUGGCUCAGUUGGUUAAGCAUCAGACUCUUGAUUUUGGCUUGUGUCAUAAUCUCAUGUGAGAUCAUGCUCCCCGUCGGGAUCUGUGCUUAGCACAGAGAUUGCUUGAGACUCUCUCACUCCCUCUCCCACUGCCUCUCUCCCUUCACUCUCUCAAACAAAAACAAAAACAAAAACACAAAAAAGCUCACUACAUUAUCGGGCAAAAUUAAUUAAAAACUAUUCACAUCAGUGUACCAUCUAAAGUUACCAAUCUACAAGAUGAAACAAAGACGUGUCCAGUGUCCAGGUAUCAAAAUUAACUGUUUACAAAAGUAAAAAACAAACAAACAAACAAAACAAAAAAACCCAAAACCCAAAGUCAAAUUGGUUUCAAAUUUCUCAGCAACAGCUGAGGCCAACAACGAAGGCGAGAUGUGACCCAGGGCUCCGCAUCUGAUUAAGCUGCUGCUCACAGGGACAGAACAGAAAGGCAUUCUCACACAAGCAGAUUCCAGUUGUGGGAACUCUGAAUCUAACUUAUGAAAUCCGUCAGGAUUCGACCAGAGAAGUGGAACCGUGUGCGUGCACGUGCGCAUGUAUGUACGUGUGCAUGCGUGUGUGGGGAUUUGACUCAUGCAGUGUGGGAGCUGGGUAGGCAGCUUUCACAAUGUGAUGCUGGGGAUUGAGGGACACAGGGCUACCAGUCAGGAAGGGACGGUAAAGUAGAGAAAGGAAAAGAGCACUCUGGAUCCGGUGAGCUGGAGUCCAUGAGGACAGUCCCUGGGACAGAAACUCCUGUCAUCACAGAGCUAAGCACACUCACCUGGCCCAAGAGGCAGAGACGCUCCAGGAGGAUCCAAGAGAAUGUGAAGCCGUGGCAGGCCUGGCUGCGGAGGGGCUGAGGCGGCAGAGAAAUGACAGCACUUUGAGCUAAAAUUGGCUGCUGUCUCAUUUCCAGCCUCCGAAUCUCCAUGAGAAUCUCUAGUCUUGUGGGCCGUUCUAAUAAAAAACAUACAGGAAAGAUAGUUCUGGAAAAAUAUAAUUUGGCCUCGGCAAGUGGAAACAUUACAAAGUCCCCACGGUCCAUCCCUUUCCAACUUGGCACCUGGAUACAUUGCCUUAAACCACACUUACUCUCCAAAUAACGACAGUCCAGAACCACACUUGUGUAUAACACAACACAAUAUCCACCAUACGGCAAAAACCACACUGACCUUCUCCCCAGAACAGCACCAGAGUCCCUGGUUUGUCUCUGAAGAAUGGGCAUUCUUUUCUGAGCUGGUUCAUACUCCCUUUUUGACAUCUUGAUACUUAAAUACUUACACAGAACGUUAUUUAUUAUGAGCACAUCUUAAAUUAGAAAAUAAAGAAUUGAGAGAUUUUUAAAAUUUGGUUAAUAUUUAUUAAAAUAUAUUCACAUCACCAUAAGGGAGAAAUACUCAUACUAUUACAGUCUUUUCUACAACAGGUCAUGAGGUCACGGAUCGUGUUUGUAACUACCAUCAUUCACCACUUACUCCUUAUUCCUUUGUCCUCAGCAAGCACCUCGGUUCAUCAUAGUUCCUCACCUGGUGGAAUGAUCCAAACCUCUGUGAAAGGUGUGAGCCAUUACCAGUAUAAAUUGGGUUAUUACUGUUUUCCUUUUACUUGAGUCAGAGGCUAUGGGAAUGCUGUAAGGUACUGCAAAGCAUCUCUGGCAUUCUCCCUCAUUAUCCCUACUGUGUAGUAACAACCCAAUUUCCCUUUGAUAGGAUCAGUCACCCCAGCCUGUCCUAUGCCUGUUUAUUCAGUGCCCAAAGACACCAGAUGGCAGCUUCCAACUCCACUUCAAGGCAAUCUUUGCUCUUGUGUCCUGGGGAAAGCAUUUCUCCCUUUAUAACUAAGACUUCUAGACCAGUAGAAGCUCAAGCUGUAGGAAUGAGAAGCAAAAAUUUUGACUACCGGAUCAACAGGGCUGAUAGGGAGAGGAGCAACUCUUUAUUUUUGUGCCUUGAUUCCCAGACUCCCAGAUCCAAGGUGCGGGAGAAGCAGGAUGCCGACGGACAGACAGCAUGUACCGCAUGCUGAAGGACUGGGCCUCGGCCCUGUGAGGGAUCCCCACCAGGCUGGUACCGUGGUUGCUCACUCAACCACGUGUCAGGGCAGUUGCUUCAGAAUGGUGGGGGAACAUGGUAAAACCAGUGAAUGCCAAGAGCAUGAACCCACUUCUGCAUUCCGUGUGCUGCGAAUACCAUGAUGGCGGAUGGCACAUUCUCUAAGGCCACAGAUGGCAGUUUUGGCAGAGGCAUUGUGGGCAGAGACGGCGUAUCUAUGUCCCCAGCAAGUGUCAGUUCCAGUAAGAUCAACCCGCUGCCUUUUUCGUAAUGAACGUGGUCCCAUGUCAUUAACCUGAUACCGGGUAGCUGGCUGAUCCCUCCGGGCACGGGCACCGUUGUCAGGGGCUCAGCGUUGUCCCUCGCGCUGGCAGUUGAGGCACUCGGCAGCAGCUGUAGCCAGGUCAGUCUUGGUGAGCACGAGUCCACUGCUGUCGCUAUGGCCACUUCGGUUGGCACUGAGCCCACAGGUGUUGCUGGGGAAAGAGGCUGUUCCAUGUCCACGGAACGGGUGAUUCUCGCCAUCUGAUUAUUAAAGAUCUUCCUCUACCCUUUGGUGAGCAUUCACCUGGACAGAAGUCUGUCCUCGUACCUCUUCCUCAGGCCUUGUGAUUUUUCAGUUGUGUUCCUUCCAAGUCCAGCUACCCAGCCAAAUGAUGCCUUGGUGUGGACCCUUUCUUCGGACCACCUCUCCUUUCCGGCAAAAUGAACAAUCAGGUACCUUGUUCCAAGUUCUGUCCACUGGGAGGACUUCCACUCUGUCCACUCCCAGGUGAUGCAUGCCCACCAUGCAGAAAAAUCUGUAAAUGAAGCCCCAGAUGUCCUUCCCACGUGAACUGAUCACAGAAAAUUUCCCAUGAAGGCAUGGCUGUGGGUUGAGAAAGAAUGUAAUAUAGCAGGAGGAGGGCUUUGGGCAUUGUGGAAUUGGUGCUAGGAUCUUUUUUUUUUUUUAAGAUUUUAUUUAUUUAUUUGCAAGCAGAGAUCACAAGUAGGCAGAAAGGCAGGCAGAGGGAGAGAGGAGGAAGCAAGCUCCCUGCCAAGCAGAGAGCCCGAUGCGGGGCUCUAUCCCAGGACCCUGGGAUCAUGACCUGACCCGAAGGCAGAGGCUUUAACCCACUGAGCCACCCAGGCGUCCCUGGUGAUAGGAUCUUAAGGCAGUAGAAGAUUCAUUUCCUCAGGCUGGGAUGGAAGGGCUAUGUCUAGUGGCAAAAAGAAAAAGGUCAGAGGUCUCUAGCUUCACUGGAAUCUGCCAGUGUGCAUAUCCUAAUGUUCAAACUCAGAUCUCUUCCCAACUAGUACCCUAACUUCUUUCCCUCUUUUUUUCUUUCUUUCUUUUUUUUUUUU
Mustela lutreola (European mink) is the source of this 10924-nucleotide long non-coding RNA. RefSeq lists it as uncharacterized. The transcript is spliced from 5 exons. Lineage: Eukaryota; Metazoa; Chordata; Mammalia; Carnivora; Mustelidae. The record is from RefSeq and is a predicted model, not a curated record.